UUUUUAAUUGGAAUCUUGUAUGAAUGAUUGGACAAGAGAAGUACUGUCUUUGUAUUGAAACUUGAAUUUAACUUUUAAGUGAAAAGGCUUAAAUAUACUAAAGGGACGAUAAGACCCUAUAAAACUUUACAUUUAUGUUAAAUUUUAUGGAAUUUGAAAUUAUAAUUAUUAAGUUUAAUUUUUUGUUAUGUUGGGGAGACAAAAGCUAUAAUUAUGUAUAACUGCUUUUAAAGGAAACAAAAAUAAAUGGGAAAAUUAAAGAUCCUUUAUUGAGAUUGUAAGAUUAAGUUACUUUAGGGAUAACAGCGUUAUUUUUUUUGAGAGUUCAUAUUGAAAAAAAAGAUUGCGACCUCGAUGUUGAAUUAAAAUAUCUUUAUAAUGCAGGUGUUAUAAAAGAAGGUCUGUUCGACCUUUAAUUUU
Molecule: ribosomal RNA, 420 nt
Filed under: Potamonautes sidneyi
Lineage: Eukaryota; Metazoa; Arthropoda; Malacostraca; Decapoda; Potamonautidae
Description: partial large subunit ribosomal RNA
Rfam family: Bacterial large subunit ribosomal RNA (bases 299-420)
Source: RNAcentral